GCCUGGGUGGCUCAGUCGGUUGGGCGUCUGACUUCAGCUCAGGUCACGAUCUCGCGGUCCGUGAGUUCGAGCCCCCCGUCAGGCU
Felis catus (domestic cat) is the source of this 85-nucleotide non-coding RNA. The record is from Rfam. NCBI's taxonomy places the organism in Eukaryota, Metazoa, Chordata, Mammalia, Carnivora, Felidae.